This 478-nucleotide ribosomal RNA is filed under the name uncultured bacterium. RNAcentral describes it as "partial 16S ribosomal RNA". It matches the Rfam family "Bacterial small subunit ribosomal RNA", at positions 28 to 523 of the family's 1533-position model. The record is from RNAcentral.
GAUGAACGCUGGCGGCGUGCUUAACACAUGCAAGUCGAACGGUAAGGCCCUUCGGGGUACACGAGUGGCGAACGGGUGAGUAACACGUGGGUGAUCUGCCCUGCACUUCGGGAUAAGCCUGGGAAACUGGGUCUAAUACCGGAUAGGACCACUGCCUGCAUGGGUGGUGGUGGAAAGCUUUUGCGGUGUGGGAUGGGCCCGCGGCCUAUCAGCUUGUUGGUGGGGUGAUGGCCUACCAAGGCGACGACGGGUAGCCGGCCUGAGAAGGUGACCGGCCACACUGGGACGGAGUAACGGCCCAGACUCCUACGGGAGGCAGCAGUGGGGAAUAUUGCACAAUGGGCGCAAGCCUGAUGCAGCGACGCCGCGUGAGGGAUGACGGCCUUCGGGUUGUAAACCUCUUUCAGCACCGACGAAGCGCAAGUGACGGUAGGUGCAGAAGAAGGACCGGCCAACUACGUGCCAGCCGCCGCGGUAA